Molecule: ribosomal RNA, 254 nt
Filed under: uncultured bacterium
Lineage: Bacteria
Description: partial 16S ribosomal RNA
Rfam family: Bacterial small subunit ribosomal RNA
Source: RNAcentral
UACGUAGGGUGCGAGCGUUGUCCGGAAUUAUUGGGCGUAAAGAGCUCGUAGGCGGUUUGUUGCGUCUAUCGUGAAAACCUGCAGCUUAACUGUGGGCUUGCGGUGGAUACGGGCAGACUUGAGUUCGGUAGGGGAGACUGGAAUUCCUGGUGUAGCGGGUGAAAAUGCGCAGAGUAUCAGGAGGAACACCGGUGGCGAAGGCGGGUCUCUGGGCCGAUACUGACGUGAGGAGCGAAAGCGUGGGGAGCGAACGG